This 1499-nucleotide ribosomal RNA is filed under the name uncultured rumen bacterium. Its description in RNAcentral is "bacterial SSU rRNA". It matches the Rfam family "Bacterial small subunit ribosomal RNA". The record is from RNAcentral.
CGGAGAGUUUGAUCCUGGCUCAGGAUGAACGCUAGCUACAGGCUUAACACAUGCAAGUCGAGGGGCAGCAUUAUCGAAGCUUGCUUUGAUAGAUGGCGACCGGCGCACGGGUGAGUAACGCGUAUCCAACCUUCCCAUCACUCAGGGAUAGCCCGCCGAAAGGCGAAUUAAUACCUGAUGGUCUCCUUCGCGGACAUCUAACGAGGAGUAAAGAUUUAUUGGUGAUGGAUGGGGAUGCGUCUGAUUAGGUAGUAGGCGGGGUAACGGCCCACCUAGCCGACGAUCAGUAGGGGUUCUGAGAGGAAGGUCCCCCACAUUGGAACUGAGACACGGUCCAAACUCCUACGGGAGGCAGCAGUGAGGAAUAUUGGUCAAUGGACGGAAGUCUGAACCAGCCAAGUAGCGUGCAGGAUGACGGCCCUAUGGGUUGUAAACUGCUUUUGUGCGGGAAUAAAGUAUGGGACGUGUCCCAUUUUGCAUGUACCGCACGAAUAAGGACCGGCUAAUUCCGUGCCAGCAGCCGCGGUAAUACGGAAGGUCCGGGCGUUAUCCGGAUUUAUUGGGUUUAAAGGGAGCGUAGGCCGGAUAUUAAGCGUGUUGUGAAAUGUAGAUGCUCAACGUCUGCACUGCAGCGCGAACUGGUGUCCUUGAGUGCGCAGGAAGUCGGCGGAAUUCGUUGUGUAGCGGUGAAAUGCUUAGAUAUGACGAAGAACUCCGAUUGCGAAGGCAGCUGACUGUAGCGUUACUGACGCUGAAGCUCGAAGGUGCGGGUAUCGAACAGGAUUAGAUACCCUGGUAGUCCGCACAGUAAACGAUGGAUGCUCGUUGUUCGCCCAUUUGAGGGUGAGUGACUUAGGGAAACCGUUAAGCAUCCCACCUGGGGAGUACGCCGGCAACGGUGAAACUCAAAGGAAUUGACGGGGGCCCGCACAAGCGGAGGAACAUGUGGUUUAAUUCGAUGAUACGCGAGGAACCUUACCCGGGCUUGAACUGUAGGAGAACGAUUCAGAGAUGAUGAGGUCCUUCGGGACUCCUAUGGAGGUGCUGCAUGGUUGUCGUCAGCUCGUGCCGUGAGGUGUCGGCUUAAGUGCCAUAACGAGCGCAACCCUUUUCGUCAGUUGCCAUCAGGUCAUGCUGGGCACUCUGGUGAUACUGCCGCCGCAAGGUGUGAGGAAGGUGGGGAUGACGUCAAAUCAGCACGGCCCUUACGUCCGGGGCUACACACGUGUUACAAUGGGGCAUACAGAAGGCCGGUUCGUGGCAACACGGAUCCAAUCUUUAAAGUGCCUCGUAGUUCGGAUUGGGGUCUGCAACCCGACCCCAUGAAGCUGGAUUCGCUAGUAAUCGCGCAUCAGCCAUGGCGCGGUGAAUACGUUCCCGGGCCUUGUACACACCGCCCGUCAAGCCAUGAAAGCCGGGGGCACCUGAAGUCUGCGACCGCAAGGGGCGGCCUAGGGUGAAACUGGUGAUUGGGGCUAAGUCGUAACAAGGUAGCCGUA